Molecule: non-coding RNA, 31 nt
Filed under: Rattus norvegicus (Norway rat)
Lineage: Eukaryota; Metazoa; Chordata; Mammalia; Rodentia; Muridae
Source: RNAcentral
UAUGAGCACUAGAUGGACACUUCCUGCCUCA